Xenopus laevis (African clawed frog) is the source of this 456-nucleotide long non-coding RNA. RefSeq lists it as uncharacterized. NCBI's taxonomy places the organism in Eukaryota, Metazoa, Chordata, Amphibia, Anura, Pipidae. The record is from RefSeq and is a predicted model, not a curated record. The transcript has 2 exons.
CAGCAACAAAUCGCUUCUUCUUCUGGCGACUAAUCUCCCCAAACUGCCUUCCCGCCAGCUAGAAUGAAAACCGCUAGCGGGAUGUCACUCAGAGCACUUCGUUUUUCUGAAGUCGCCCAAAGAUGCCUCACGGGGAAACCAAAAAAACUAAGCGAUCCGGCGAUUUUCAUUCUAGCCAGUGGGGGGCAGUUAGUCACCGCGAAAAAGAGAUUUGUAGCUGGGCGACUAAUCUUCCCAAAUAUGACUGUGUAAUAGUCUAAUUCAAAUUCUUACAGGAACAGUAAAUGAUACAUUUUGAAAUUCAAAUUUAGACUACUAGUCGAUAGUUACACUAUAAUAAACUCGUAAUUUGAAUUUAAAAGAUUUAAAAAUUCGAAUUUUCUUAGAUAAAUCUGUCUCAAAGGUGAACAGCCCCUUUAAAUAAACCCAAUAGGCUGGUUUUGCCUCCAAUAAGGA